This 468-nucleotide ribosomal RNA is filed under the name uncultured bacterium. RNAcentral's name for it is "partial 16S ribosomal RNA". It matches the Rfam family "Bacterial small subunit ribosomal RNA", at positions 28 to 507 of the family's 1533-position model. The record is from RNAcentral.
GACGAACGCUGGCGGCGUGCUUAACACAUGCAAGUCGAACGGAAAGGCCCUGCUUUUGUGGGGUGCUCGAGUGGCGAACGGGUGAGUAACACGUGAGUAACCUGCCCUUGACUUUGGGAUAACUUCAGGAAACUGGGGCUAAUACCGGAUAGGAGCCCCUGCUGCAUGGUGGGGGUUGGAAAGUUUCGGCGGUUGGGGAUGGACUCGCGGCUUAUCAGCUUGUUGGUGGGGUAGUGGCUUACCAAGGCUUUGACGGGUAGCCGGCCUGAGAGGGUGACCGGCCACAUUGGGACUGAGAUACGGCCCAGACUCCUACGGGAGGCAGCAGUGGGGAAUAUUGCACAAUGGGCGGAAGCCUGAUGCAGCAACGCCGCGUGCGGGAUGACGGCCUUCGGGUUGUAUACCGCUUUCGCCUGUGACGAAGCGUGAGUGACGGUAAUGGGUAAAGAAGCACCGGCUAACUACGUG